Molecule: long non-coding RNA, 429 nt
Organism: Gymnodraco acuticeps
Lineage: Eukaryota; Metazoa; Chordata; Actinopteri; Perciformes; Bathydraconidae
Exons: 5
Source: RefSeq, a predicted model, not a curated record
GUCUGACCAGACAUAGAGGGAACGAACAAGAGUGCUGCAAAUUGAAGCCGGAGGAAACGAAGUUGAUCGAAGUGGAAAAAGACGAUAUAUAAAAAGGUGUGGGACAUUCCAAAUGUUCCAAAAGUGAGCACUCCACGAAUGGACAACAGUUUGCAGGACCUCUCAGGCACCCACAACCAGCGUCUGAUCGGGAUGGAGCACCAACCCCAUUCCAGGAAGAGGUCCAGUCUGCCCCGGGUCAGAACCACUUCUAUAGCAACUACACAACUGUGUAUGCACUUAUCAUUAUUGAUAGCCAGUCUGAGCCAGAAGACACAAUGGAGCAAAGGUAUUAAUUGUUACUAUUACCACUUAAUUUUUCUAUUCUAUUCUGUAAAUCUUAUUACUAGCUUCAUCAUUUAAUAUUACAAUACAUCACUUUGUCUUUCC